GCACAAGCGGUGGAGCAUGUGGAUUAAUUCGAUGCAACGCGAAAAACCUUACCUACCCUUGACAUGUCUGGAAUUCCGAAGAGAUUUGGAAGUGCUGCAAGAGAACGGAACACAGGUGCUGCAUGCGUCGUCAGCUGUGUCGUGAGAUGUGGGUAAGUCCCGCAACGAGCGCAACCCUUGUCAUUAGUGCUACGAAAGGGCACUCUAAUGAGACUGCCGGUGACAAACCGGAGGAAGGUGGGGAUGACGUCAAGUCUCAUGGCCCUUAUGGUAGGGCUUCACACGUCAUACAAUGGUCGGGACAGAGGGUGCCAACCCGCGAGGGGGAGCCAAUCCCAGAAACCCGAUCGUAGUCCCCCCCCCCGUCGCACUGGGGCGGAAGUCGAAUCGC
Molecule: ribosomal RNA, 391 nt
Filed under: bacterium enrichment culture DGGE gel band A7
Lineage: Bacteria
Description: partial 16S ribosomal RNA
Rfam family: Bacterial small subunit ribosomal RNA
Source: RNAcentral